AAAGAAUGAAAAAAGGCCAGGCGAAGCUGCAUAAAUUGGGGGCCGCUUCAAAGUACACGCCAACGCCAUCAGCCAAACGUGUUUUGAAGAGAUGCAACACCGCAGAGAAUGAUUCUUCUUUUGUGGUGUGGGAAAUGUUCCCUGACAAGGAGGACCAUUCAGUGGAAAGUGGGGAAGAAGAGGACUAUUAUUUUAUGGAUGAUGACUGAGCUGCAGAUUUAUGGGUCUCUUUACUCCAAGCAGGCCGAAAAGGGGAGGGACAUAUCUGAGUUUGUCUAAUAAGAAACGCUAGUUUUUGUUGCAAAACAUUUAGCUAUGGUUUGUACUUAUACACCCUGUUUGGAUGAUUACGUUUUAAAACAGGAA
Molecule: long non-coding RNA, 366 nt
Organism: Coregonus clupeaformis (lake whitefish)
Lineage: Eukaryota; Metazoa; Chordata; Actinopteri; Salmoniformes; Salmonidae
Exons: 3
Source: RefSeq, a predicted model, not a curated record